GCCAGCAGCCAUGUCACCCUGCAACUCACUGAACCCUGCAACUAGCUACCCACUGAAGCUAAGCAGGUGUGAGCCUGGCUGGUACCUGGUUGGGAGACCUUCUGGGAAAGCUUGCUGCUGGAA
Molecule: ribosomal RNA, 123 nt
Filed under: Lepisosteus oculatus (spotted gar)
Lineage: Eukaryota; Metazoa; Chordata; Actinopteri; Semionotiformes; Lepisosteidae
Source: RNAcentral